GAUGAACGCUGACAGAAUGCUUAACACAUGCAAGUCGAUGGGGAAGUGGUGCUUGCCCCAUGGCAACCAUGGCGGACGGGUGAGUAACGCGUAAGGGACUUACCUGCAGGACUGGGAUAACAGGGGGAAACUCCUGACAAGACCGGAUAAUGUCAUGGAGCUGCAUGGCUUUAUGAUGAAAGGAGACGCCUGCGGAGAGCCUUGCGUCCUAUUAGCUAGUUGGUGAGGUAAUGGCUCACCAAGGCGAAGAUAGGUAGCCGGCCUGAGAGGGUGGACGGCCACAAGGGGACUGAGAUACGGCCGUUACUCCUACGGGAGGCAGCAGUGGGGAAUAGUGGACAAUGGGGGCAACCCUGAUCCAGCAAUUCUGUGUGCACGAAGAAGGUUUUCGGAUUGUAAAGUGCUUUCAGCAGGGAAGAAGUAAGUGACGGUACCUGCAGAAGAAGCGACGGCUAAAUACGUG
This 463-nucleotide ribosomal RNA is filed under the name uncultured bacterium. RNAcentral describes it as "partial 16S ribosomal RNA". It matches the Rfam family "Bacterial small subunit ribosomal RNA", at positions 28 to 507 of the family's 1533-position model. The record is from RNAcentral.